Molecule: long non-coding RNA, 829 nt
Organism: Neofelis nebulosa (Clouded leopard)
Lineage: Eukaryota; Metazoa; Chordata; Mammalia; Carnivora; Felidae
Exons: 2
Source: RefSeq, a predicted model, not a curated record
AAAGAAAAGUUUAUUGGCUUGGCAAAAUAGGGGGGGUCAACAUCAAACAUAUUAGCGAGACCAUGUUCUCACAAGUCUUUGCCAGGCUUAUGCUCCCUCUCUUCACUUCCUUUCUGUCCUUCUUCCCUUCACUUGACCUAUAGUUCAAAUUCUUCCCACUUGUUUAUGUGGAGCAAUCGUGCUCUCCUCAGCCCCUGCUCCUGAACCUUUGCAUAGCUAACUUGACUUAAAUCACCAGAUUAAGUUCUUCGAUGAAGGCCAUCUUCUUCUCAUGGAGUGUGGGAGUUUCCAAUAUGUCCACAGAUUCUCUGAUCCUUCUUUCAAAGGGUGACACCAAAUCCCCCUCUCCCUUAGCGUGGGCUGAAUUUAGUGACUCACUUCCAACAAAUACAUGUGGCAGAAGUCAUGUGUGACUUCCCAGGUGAGCACAAAAAAGGCACUAUGACUUUCUUCUCACAGCUCAUGCACCCUGGGGCAAGCCAGCUGCUAUGUCACCAGGACACUCGAGCAGAUGCUGAAAUGGCAAGUCCAAAAAGCAAGAAGAUUUCUUAUGAAAUGCAAACAGUGGGGAACCAUUAAUUUUAAAGGUCUACCCAUUUCCCAAGGAGCCAAGAAGCCAUGCCUAGUCUUGAGGGUUUAAUCUACGUACACACAGGGGAAAGAUCUCUCCUAACCUACACCACUCACUGUCCUCCCAAGAGGCUUCAUGUGCCUUUCUUUUGAAAACUCGCAUUUUCCAUAGUUGCAAAAAUAACAAAUGCUCAGUGUACAAAACUAGGAAUACUUGAAAAAGCACAAAGAAAAUGGAAAAAUAAACACCGUAAUCCCA